UGGGGAAUAUUGCACAAUGGGCGAAAGCCUGAUGCAGCGACGCCGCGUGAGGGAUGACGGCCUUCGGGUUGUAAACCUCUUUCAGCAGGGAAGAAGCGCAAGUGACGGUACCUGCAGAAGAAGCGCCGGCUAACUACGUGCCAGCAGCCGCGGUAAUACGUAGGGCGCAAGCGUUGUCCGGAAUUAUUGGGCGUAAAGAGCUCGUAGGCGGCUUGUCACGUCGGGUGUGAAAGCCCGGGGCUUAACCCCGGGUCUGCAUUCGAUACGGGCUAGCUAGAGUGUGGUAGGGGAGAUCGGAAUUCCUGGUGUAGCGGUGAAAUGCGCAGAUAUCAGGAGGAACACCGGUGGCGAAGGCGGAUCUCUGGGCCAUUACUGACGCUGAGGAGCGAAAGCGUGGGGAGCGAGCAGGAUUAGAUACCCUGGUAGUCCACGCCGUAAACGGUGGGAACUAGGUGUUGGCGACACUCCACGUCGUCGGUGCCGCAGCUAACGCAUUAAGUUCCCCGCCUGGNGAGUACGGCCGCAAGGCUA
Molecule: ribosomal RNA, 531 nt
Filed under: uncultured bacterium
Lineage: Bacteria
Description: bacterial SSU rRNA
Rfam family: Bacterial small subunit ribosomal RNA
Source: RNAcentral